This is an RNA transcript of Syngnathus acus (greater pipefish), 3924 nucleotides long. It is a transcript of the gene named enhancer of polycomb homolog 1-like, with no coding region annotated. NCBI's taxonomy places the organism in Eukaryota, Metazoa, Chordata, Actinopteri, Syngnathiformes, Syngnathidae. The transcript is spliced from 15 exons. The record is from RefSeq and is a predicted model, not a curated record.
GUGAGGGGGAAGGAGGGUAGGAGGGCUGGACCGAGGCGAGCAAAAAAACACGCCAAAACACUUUUAAAUGUCCGCCAUGUUGCCCAUGGCGUACUGAGCCGCCAACGCGGAGGGGAAGCGGAGCGCCGGGAAAACGCAGGCCGAGACACAGCGACCGACAUCCGGGCCUCCACCCCCACCACACCACACGGCGGCUCCGGGCUGGCGACGCCCUACCUUAGCGCUUGACAAGCUUACAAAAAAAAGAAAAAAAACGUCAGAGUUAGCCGCCCCAGAAUCAUCCAUGAAAGCUUCACUCGUCACCGCGGUGAAUAUUAGGAGCUCGGAUAGACACUAUUUGUGAGAGGGGGCACCUGGAAAAGAGCAAAAAUGAGUAAAUUGUCGUUUCGGGCGCGGGCGCUGGACGCCACCAAGCCGCUGCCCGUCUUCCGUUGCGAGGAUUUACCCGACCUGCACGAGUAUGCGUCCAUUAACAGGGCCGUGCCGCAGAUGCCAACGGGCAUGGAGAAAGAGGAGGAAUCGGAACAUCACCUCCAGCGGGCCAUCUCAGCACAGCAGGUCUACGGCGAGAAGCGAGACAACAUGGUCAUUCCGGUGCCGGAGGCGGAGAGCAACAUCACCUACUACGAAUCACUAUACCCCGGAGAUUACAAGAUGCCAAAGCAGCUCAUUCACCUACAGCCUUUCAGCCUGGACACGGAGCAGCCGGACUACGACCUGGACUCGGACGACGACGCCUUCGUGGCAAAGUUGAAAAAGAAGAUGGAGAUCAGCUUAUUGCAGUUUGAGGAGAUGAUCGACCGGCUGGAGAAAGGCAGCGGGCAGCAGCUGGUGAGUCUUCCUGAGGCCAAGCUGCUGCUCAAGGAGGACGAUGAGCUCAUCAAGGAGGUGUUUGACUACUGGAGCCGCAAGAGGAAAAACAGCAAGGCACACUCGCUCAUCAACAUCAUCAAGCAGGAGAAGCGCGACGGCUCCAGCACCAGCGACCCGUACGUGGCCUUCCGAAGGCGCACCGAGAAGAUGCAGACCAGAAAGAACCGCAAGAACGACGAGGCGUCCUAUGAGAAGAUGCUGAAACUCCGCAGGGAUCUGAGCCGGGCGGUCACCAUUCUGGAGAUGAUCAAAAGGAGGGAGAAGAGUAAGCGAGAGCUGCUGCACCUCACGCUGGAGAUCUUUGAGAAGAGGAAUGUCAUGUCGGACUACGGUGGUGAGGUCCUGGCUGAGGUCCUGGCAGAGCGGGCACUGGUUAGGCCGCAGAUCAUCCCGCUGGUGCCGCUUACCAACCAGUACCACAUGGACCACAAGGACUACAAAUCCAAGCCUGAGAAGAUGGAAGUCCCUCGGCAAAAGAGGAAAUAUGAGAAGAAACAGAAGGCUCUUCCGCUGUCAGCUGGCGCAGCGCAUCACCACGGUCCUGCAAUCUUUAACGCCAAGGACCUGAACCAGUACGACUUCCCUAGCUCAGAUGACGAGCCUCAGCUGCACUCGGGGUCGUCGGAAGCUGAGGAGGAGAAUGACCCGGAUGGCGCCUACGCUUUUCGAAGGAAAGCCGGCUGCCAGUAUUACGCUGCUCGUCAGGAUCGCAUGGGCGCCUGGCCGUGGUCACCGGCCGGGGAGGGCGGCCUGGCGCACGCCCGAUAUCGCUACAGUCUCACCACGCUCACCGUGCCGCGACGAUGCCAGGGCUUGGCCCGUCGACGUCUUGGACGAGGGGGCAGGGUCUUACUGGACCGAGCCCACUCGGACUAUGACAACGUUUUCCAUGAACUGGACCCGAAGACAUUAGAUUGCGCACCGCCCCCAUCGGGCUCGCGCUCGCCAGCCGCCAGCAAGUUUGUCAGUACCUCACCAACCAAUACCUCAGACAGAAGCAGCUCCUCGCCGCCCUCGGACCUCAGUCAGAUUCUUUUGAGCAUAAAGGCUUGCCGGUGGCGUCACUUCCGACCACGGACACUACCGCUGCACCAGCUGGACAACGCCCACCCGUUGUUCCGCAGAAUCAGUCGCUGUGUCAAGCGGCCGCUCACCAAUAUCGGGCCGUCAGCUCAGCGUGUCUUACGGCCUGGACCGCCGUCGCAGCCUCAUGUUGCCCUGACUGCCGAGCAGUUCCAGCAACACCAGGACCAGUUGGCGCAGAUGCAGAAGGAGCAGAUGGAGCAGCAGCUUCAAACCAACAGAGCCGCCACCGCCCACAGCACAACGACUACAACACAGGUGUCUGCCAACACGUUGGACCAGGCCAGUGCUCAGUUUGCCGCUUCUGCCCUAGUCUCCACCGAGCAAAUUCUGGCUCUGAAAACCAAGGAGGAGCUCAGCCUGGGUGGCAGUGUCAACGGCAUCCUAUCCCCCACAGGUGCCUACAAGGGCUUGCACCUCUCCAGCACAGCGUCUCCCUCACUGGCUGCCCCGGCACCGCCCGCCACCCUGUCCAGCGCCGCUUCCCUGCAUCCGGGCAGCGCCACCAGCGCCGCGCCAGCCUGCAGCACCAACAGCAACAACGGCACCGCCCACCACGCCGGUCCCGCAACCACUAAUGCCACUCAGGUUCCACUGGGCAACAGCCUCCGACUGGCCGUGCCCGCUGGCAAGCGGGUGCAUGCCCCCCGAACGCUAAGCAGCGCCAUGUCGGCGUCUGCUUUAAAGCUGGCGCACGCCGCCGCCAACUGUCAGAAGCCCAAGGUCCCCUCGGCCACCGCGGCCUCACCGCUGGACAUCGUGCCCAGGUGUGUUGCAGUUGGGAGACGCAUAACAUUCAGGAAACCGGCACCCAAGGACCAGGGUUGAAGAACAACCCUGGCCUAGGGCUUGGCAUCAUGGCCAUAAAAGAAAAGCAAAACUUGCCCAAAAGGGAGAACCACGAGCAGGACAAGGCGGCGCCACUCAGCAGUCUGUCUGAGAACACAAUGGCCAUGGAGGUGACGUAGCCUGCACACAGGGACCCCGUGUUUUUUUGGGGGGGGGGGGGUCGUUUUUAAAAGGUGCUAUGCAUCGUCCGUUAGGCUUGAACAAGAGCAGACUGACUGGACUUGACUGUGCGGUGAAUGCUCUGCAGAGCCACUUGUCCGGUGUGUUUGCGUGUGUAUUUAUGUGUAUGUGUAUAUAUAUACAUAUAUAUGUACAUGUGUGUGUAUAUAUAUAUAUAUAUACACACACGUACGUACACAUGUAUCUACAUAUAUGUGUAUGUAUACAUACACGUAUAUAAAACUCCACUGUAUUUGUUACUGUUAAGAGAUUGUCUGUAAAUUAAUUUGGCAAUUAAAUGUACAGUACUGAGUAUUUGUAGGCCCCGCCCACCCCAGCCCUCUUGUAUAUAACAUGAAUUGAAUACACAGUUGUUCAUUUGUGAUGUUUUGCACUCAAGUUGUUAGAAAAAAAAUUAGAGAGAAAGGACAAACCGCCGUUGCUGCGACCAGUCUCAACACUCUCACCUGCUUCCCACCCUCCCCUCGUCUAUUUAUUGUGCCGCGUUUUCGUCCAAUCCUCCGUUGCGACCGCUUGUUCUUCAACCAAACCCCCACCCGCCAUUUCACACGUCUUUUCUACAAUAAAUAUUUUUGUACUUAAUUUUUUUCUUAACUUGAUUUGUGAUUUGACUCUGCAAAAAGAUACGUUGGUUUUGUUUUUAUGCUUGGACGUGGCAGAAAAGGAUCAAUCAUUCCACUUCAAAAACUAAGAUAAAAAAAACACAAAUUUUGAAACUUAACAGGCAUUGUGGUCGUCAGUGUGCUGAUUUUCUCUUCUGUGAAGAGUUUGGUACCAAACUGGAGGCUUCAUAAUUUUUUUGGUGUGCGUGCGUACACGGCAGUGAGCGCCCCCUAGUGUGUGUGCUGGUGUGGACACGUCAGCGUCAUGCGGCAAAGAUGAAUGGAAGUACUCCUAAAAAGAAAAGGUGUCAAUGAAAUAAAAAUCCAGGGCAUUAUA